AGUUAAUUAACUUAUUAAGUAUAUAUUUUGAAAAUAUAGAAAAGGAAAUAAAAUUUCCUAUUAACUU
This 67-nucleotide transfer RNA is filed under the name Auritibicen bihamatus. RNAcentral's name for it is "tRNA-Ser". Lineage: Eukaryota; Metazoa; Arthropoda; Insecta; Hemiptera; Cicadidae. The record is from RNAcentral.